UUCAUUCAACUAUUUCAUUAAUGUGGAGGUAAGCAGCAGGGCCUAGAAGUAGAGAGAGGGGCGCCUGGUUGGCUCAGUUGGUGGAACAUGCGACUUCUGAUCUCAGGGUCAUGAGUUGGAGCCCCAUGUUGGAUGUGGAGCCUACUUAAAAAAAAAAAAAAGUAGAGAGGAGAAUUGAUUUAAGCUAGAGACAUUCCUAAUGGUGUUCUUUUCCCUACAGAUAAAGAAGAUAAUGAAAGCCAAUGAAAAGGUUACAAGUGACGCUGACCCCAUGUGGUACUUGAAGUAAGGAAUCAACUACUCUUGAUUUGCUACUUUGAUUACGUCUAACAUUUUUUAAAGUGAAUGUGGUUGUUACCAAAACUCUAUGAAAAUAACUCUCCUUAUCUGUUUAAUAAGGAGGUAAUUAUCAAGUGCUCAGUUUUGAAUCAGUAAACUAAUUAUAACAAGUAGAGUUAUGGUUGAGAAGUACUGAAAUUAUUAAGGUUUAAACAUUUUUUAGAACAAUAUUGAACGGCAAGAAAAAUUACUGAAGUAAUACAGAGUUCCAUAUUAUCCUGCGCGCAACCUAUGCUGAUAUUAACAUCAUACAGAAUCAUACCAUAAUUAGCAAACCCAGGAAAUUAGCACUGAUAAUAAUACUGUCAACUAAUCUGCAUGUCUUAUUUCCAGUUUUCCCGCUCAAGUCUUUUUUUCAGGCCCAGGAUUCCGUCCAGGGCUCUGCGUGAUGAUUAGUUUUCAGGUCUCUCCUUAGUCUCCCCAAGCCUGUGACUGUUCCUCACACUUCCUUGGUCUUUUAUCACCUUGUCACUNNNNNNNNNNNNNNNNNNNNNNNNNNNNNNNNNNNNNNNNNNNNNNNNNNNNNNGAGUUCCAUAUUAUCCUGCGCGCAACCUAUGCUGAUAUUAACAUCAUACAGAAUCAUACCAUAAUUAGCAAACCCAGGAAAUUAGCACUGAUAAUAAUACUGUCAACUAAUCUGCAUGUCUUAUUUCCAGUUUUCCCGCUCAAGUCUUUUUUUCAGGCCCAGGAUUCCGUCCAGGGCUCUGCGUGAUGAUUAGUUUUCAGGUCUCUCCUUAGUCUCCCCAAGCCUGUGACUGUUCCUCACACUUCCUUGGUCUUUUAUCACCUUGUCACUUUUGAAGAAUUUUGAUCCAUCGUUUUGUAGGAAGCUCUUCAGUCUGAGUUUGUAUGAUGUUUGCUCAUGAUUCGAUUGGGUUGUGCAUUUUUGGCACAGAAGUAACGUUUCGUGCCAUUCUCACUGCAUCAUAUCAGGGUACAGGUGUCAGUAUAUCUUACUAUUGGUGGUUUUAACUUUUCACUUGAUUAAGAUGGUAUAUGCAGGUUCAUCCACUAUAAAGUCACUAUUUUUCUUUUUGUAAUAAGUGCCUUAGGGGGAGAUCCUUUGAUUGAUACUAUGCAAAUACUUACUAACUUUAGCCUGCAAGGACAGGUCUUACAAGUUACUGCUGUGUAUUUGCCUGUUGGUGAGGCUUUCUUGCUAUCGUUCCUUAUCCAGUAAUACUGGAAUUCUGUUGUAAGGAAGAGCUUUUUCUUCCCUUUAUUUAUCUCUUUAUUUAUAUUAAUAUGAACUCUUGUAUGUUUUAAUCUAUGGAUCGUAAUCCAGCAGUAUCAUUUUAUUGCUUAACUUGUCCCAGCUUUGCCCAAGGGAGAGGCUUCAGGUUGAUUUCCAUGUCCUUUUGGCACACUGCUGCUCAUUUUCAAGCACUCCUUUACUUUAUGGCACCAUGAGAUGUGGUUGAUCUGGUAUUUUCCGUCUUAGCCUGGAAUCCACUAUUUUCCCAAGGAGCCCUAGUCUCUUUUUUUGGACAAUAGUGUUUAAAAACCAAGAUAGGGAUACUAAAGCCUUGGUAGGCAGAGUAAGGAAAUAAAUGUGUAUAUACUAACCUCUGCAUCCACACAUCAAUAUUUCUAUGUCUUACUCAUUUUUACAUAUAUUUUUAAAAUCCCACUGUACGAACACCUCCUGUUUCAGUCCACCUCUGAAGGACUCAUUCUAAUUAACCUCUUUCCUUAUUUGUAACUUCUAUGUCUAAAAUGAGAAACCUGGCUCUCAUUGACCACUCUAUUUUUACUUAUUUAUUCAAUCCUAGAAUAUACGUAGUUUCAGAAUAGCUAACUCAUAUCUCUGUGAGAAUAAAAUUUAAUUAGAGUACAAUAUCCGUGUAUUGCUUUUUUGUCUUUAUCUUUACAAUAUCCAAGCAACAUGCUGUUUCCAAAGCUACUUAGAUUUGUCAUUUCCUUUCUCACCUUCUCAGGGCAGUUACUUAUGCAUUUGUAAGGCAGGAAGGUUUGUUUUCCAUUUUGGGUCCCCUUCUGCAUCCUGGUAGGUUUUAAUUACGCAUUUAACUUUUGGAGUAUGUGAAACAUGGUUGUAAGAGUGAGAGCUAUAUAAAAAAGUAUUUUCGGGGAAUUGUCACUCCCUUCCCAGUUCUUUCCACACUGUUGCCAGACUCCCAGUAGGUAACCAAUCUCCUUAGUUUCUGUUUUCUUCCUGUGUUUCUUUUGCCAUAAUGAGCAUAUACAGAUGGUCCCUGACUUACAGUGCUUCAACGUAAGAAUUUUUCAACUUAACAAUGGUGUGAAAGCUAUACACAUUCAUAGAAGUUGUACUUUGAAUUUUGAAUUUUGAUCUUUUCCCAGGUUAGCAACAUGCAGUAGAAUCCCGUCUUGUGAUGCUGGGCGGCGACAGCCACAGCUCCCCAGUCGGCCCUGCAGUCACCAGGGUCAACAACGAUACAGUUACGAUCCUUCUGUUUUUCACUUUCUGUACAUAUUCAAUGAAUUCCAUGAGAUAUUUAACAUUGUAUUUUAAAACAGGCCCUGUGUUCUAUGAUUUUGCCCAAAUGUAAGCUAAUGUAAUUUUUCUGAGCACGUUUAAGAUAGGCUAAGCUAAGCUAUGAUGGUUGGUAGGUUAUGUAUAUUAAAUGAAUUUUCAGCUUAACAAACUUUUCAACUUAUGUUGGGUUUAUUGGGCUGUAGCCAGACUGUAGGUCAAGGAAGAGCUGUAUCUUUUUUCCUCUUAUAACCUCUUCUUUCUUAUAUGAAUAAUAACUCUUUUCAUUAAUAAUCAUCUUUAGGGAGCUAUCUUUCCAGUAUUUUUUAAAAAGAGAUUUAUAGCAAUUUCUUUAAAAAUACUCUGAUAGUAUUUUCCUUCCUUUGUAGAAAUGUACGUACUAUGACUUCAAGAUCUCCCAAUUAUAAUUUUUAAUUUGUCGUUCUUAGCAAGAUAAGUAUUUGUCAAAGUGUAAUCUUUGCAUUUGGGAGGAAAAUAGCUUGUUUAUAUGUUCGUUGAAAAGCUGUAACUGGUAAUGGAAUAAUUUGCUUUUCAGAUAUCUUAAUAUCUAUGUCGGGCUCCCUGAUGUUGAAGAAAGCUUCAAUGUAACUAGACCGGUAUCCCCGCAUGAGGUAAUUAUCUACCUUACCAUGAUUGAAUUUGUUUGCCUUAACUCAGAGUCUGUGCCCUUAAUAAUAUGUUCUUGAAAUGACUUUAAAAUAGGGGAAAAUAUCUCUUAUGAGACAAAGCUAACCAAAAUAAAUUAGCACUUGUAUAAUACUAUAUUAGGAAACAAUUCUGCAGUGUUUAGUUUUUCAUUUAAUCCUAGUUAAUCUGUGCUGUCAUAUAGGUAUGUCUCCUGUUCGUGUCCUGUUCUGAGCUUUUGGGCAGCCUUCCCCCUGCCCGCACUUGUUUCCUGCCCCAGCCAGCCACUUGUGCCUGGUACCAUGUGCUGUCCAUCUGCACAGGUGACUGAGCACAUGUUUUGAGGGUCAGCAAGCAUUGUGUUAGGCAGAGGAGACCAGGACAGGGGCUCACAGACCAUUAGAAGAGAUAGGUGGGUAGGAAGAAAAUUUAAUUACCAGGAUUUUAGCAGAGCUACAGACAAAGGUUGUGGAACAGGUCUGUUGGCUUUUAACACAUUCUACAUUCUUCUUGAAAUUCUUCCACUUGGUGUCCAUAAUUGGGAAUUGAUUCAGGAAAGAAAAUGAUUUUUGUAGAUUUAUCUAGUUUGUGUCGAUGUAGAACUAAAAUGUAAAGCAAUUAGGGAAAGUAGCAGAGUAAUCUUCAUUAAACAAGUAAGUUAGAAAGUUAGGGUUGUUGUCUGAGCAUUGUUAAACAGGAAGUACGAUCAAGUAACCAGAUAUUUCACACAGGUAAAUUUUGUUACUUAAUCACUGAGUUUCGAGUGUCAGUUGAACAUUUGUCUUGUGCCUCAGCAUUGAGAGAUAUACAAAAGAUAUGAGACCCUCUCCUUCCUCAAGGAGCACAUACACUUGUGGAGAGUGUAAACUAACAAAAUACUUGAAACAGACACCAGGGCUUGCACACUUGACUGCCUGGAAGGGUAAGAUAGGUACAGUAAGUGAAGUUGUGUUGAGGUUUGGAAUGUUGGAAAAUGUGUGCACCAGUAUGGCUUUCCCCGCUUCCCCAUUCCUUCUCCAUUUGCUGGAGUUUUCUAAUUAUUUUAGAACUAGGCAGCCAAUUAGCAAAUUCCACGUCCUUUUCUGAACUACAUCACUGAGCCUGAGAAGAGAGAAGGCAAAGUAGUUUGAAGUAGUUUGAGAAGCCUGAGGCUGCAGUUGUCAUAAUUUUUCUUCCUGAUGUUGGAGAAAACAUACGGGCAUUAUUGCAGUAAGAGAGAAAGGGCAUGAAGAUUCUCGGAGGGAUUUUGAUCCUUGGAGAGAUGGGGAGAGUCAGAGAGCAGGUGGGUGGGCAGCCAGGGCACCCACAGCAGGAGUGGGGGGGGGGGGCGCUGCUGCAGAGCCCCCAGCACAGCCCAGUCCUGUGAUAACAGAGAGGCUGAGGGUGGCAGAGGGAGCUCACGGGAGUAGUUUGGGGCCUGUGGAGAGGGUCCCUGUGUUUACCACAUCUGUUGAAUUUCAUUUCCAUUUGAAGGAGAGGAGUUUGUUAAAACACACACAUGUUUACCUAUCAUGGAUGUUACAUUAGAUUUUUAAUAAAAAUGAGAUUCUGUCUGUAAGGUAGCCUGUUCCAGGAACUAUUCUAAAAAUAUGUAUUUAUACCCUUGGGAAUUAAAAUGAUUCUCAUUCCCUUUGUACGUAGGAGGAGACCAAGGUGCAGAACUGAAGUGGUACAGCCAGUGUUUGGGCAUAGACGGCAGGGUGCACACUCUGAGCCUCUAGGCCACACCGCCUUUGGAGUGGCCUGAAGGAGACAGCUCAAUCUAAUUAAAUAUAAAAUACUCAUCAGUAAUAAGGGUAUCUAAUAUUUUUGGAUCUCAGGCAUUGGGAAAGAAAGGCAGAAAAAGUUUAAACCUAACUGUCUUUGGUUCACUUGAAGCCAGAGGGAGGAUUCAGUACCAUGAAUUGUAUGGUUGACGUUCAGAGAGAUUCUCUUUUUGAGAGUACAAGCCACCUGAUCACCAUCAGUAAAACAGGGAAGUCGUUGAAGAUUUGGUGGAGUGUGCCGUGUCUGACUAUGUGGUCACAGCUCAGAGAAGGGCUGAAGAUUUGGUGGGGUGUGCCAUGUCAGGGCAUUUAGUGAGUCAUCACCUUGUCAAACUAAGGCACACACCAGUAAUCUCCAGAGUUCCCCAAAUGAUUCAGAAAUUGUAAUAUGGUGUGAUGAACGAUUUGUGCUAUAAGAUACCACUUGUUAAGGAAUUUUGUGAACAGGGGUGCCUGGGUGGCUCAGUUGGUUGGGUGUCCGACUUUGGCUCAGGUCAUGAUCUCACCGUCCGUGGGUGUGAGCCCUGCAUUGGGCUCUGUGCUGACAGCUCAGAGCCUGGAACAUGCUUCAGAUUCUGUGUCUCCCUCUCUCUCUGCCCCUCCCCUGCUCAAGCUCUGUCUCUCUCAAAAAUAAAUAAAUACUAAAAAAAAUUUAAAAACAAAAGAAUUUUAUGAUACAGUUAGUUUCUGUAUGUGUAUACUUUAGGUAUCAUACUGGUUGUUAACCACAUUGGUAACUACAUUGAUUAAUUUCCAUGGACCCAGUUGUCAAGGAACAGUCUAACUGCUUCAAAGAUGGGGAGCAGACUGAUGAUGGCAUCAGAUAGUGAGAAGAAAGUCAGUACCAGAUUUAUUGUUCCAUUUUUGGGCUGUUAGGGCAGAGAUGCUGUGGGGAUGUCUAGAUCAGUGGCCAACAUCGUUCCUCAUGGAGAAGGUAGGCUCCUCACUCCCAGUGCCCUUAAGGCAACACAUGGAACAGACCCAGUUCAGCAUAGGCCAUACUGCUACCAGAGACGGAGUUCUUGGAAGCUUCAGGACUCUUUGAUUUCCAGGGAGAAAGAGCACUGACUGUCUGAUUCUCUUUCAGUGCCGUCUGCGGGACAUGACGUACUCUGCCCCCAUCACAGUGGAUAUUGAAUAUACCCGAGGCAGCCAAAGAAUCAUCCGUAAUGCCUUACCCAUUGGCAGGUGAGAAAUGACAUCUGAGUUAGAGCCACACUGCCUGCAUUCUAGCCCUGUGGGGUGACCUUGAGCAAGUACUACAGUUCCCUUUGCCCCAUUUCCUCAUGUGAAAAAUGCGGGAAAUGGUGUCUGCUCCAUGAGAGUCUUUUCUGGGGAUCCAGUGAGUCAGCCCAAGCAGAGCACUCGAACAGUGUCCAGUGCAAUGCUGUGGUUGUUGUUGUUUUUAAUUGUGAGGUCUUUUCCAUAAAGCUAAGGAAAAUCCUUUCAUUUCCUUCUGAAAUCCAGGCUGUUAGGGAACCAUUAGAUAAGAUAGCAUUUCAGUGAACCAGGCUGUUAGGGAACCAUUAGAUAAGAUAGCAUUUCCCUAUAACUAGGGAAAUAUACAGACUCAUCUGUAGAAAUGGGCAAAACCCACAAUAUUGGGAAUUUGAUAAUGGUGUCGGACUUUAAACUUCGUGCAAACCCUUCCUGGCCAAGUGUUUUUUUCACCCUUCAGAAAUGCUAAAGGCAUGAUAAAUAUCCACAGGUUCAGUGAAUAUGCACCAUUUGUUGGUCACUUGUGAUACACUCUGCUGGGUAGUCCAGUAAAUAGAAGAUACUUAGAUACAACUCCUAUUGGCUGUCUUCAUUCCCAGCUGCCCAGGAAGGCAGGCUUGAAUAGCUGUGGUACCAUUUGGUAUGUGCUGUGGUAGGUCCAGAGUAAUGGAAACACACAGGUUUAACAAAUCCUUCCCCCAUAGUGCCCUAAAGGAAGGGGCUCUUUGUGUUGUUUCUGUCCUCACUCUUCAGUUAGGGAAAUAAGUUGGGAUAUUAGAGUAUUAAUCUUUGUUUUAGCAGGACUGUUUAUCAGCGUUAAAACCUUUCCUCUUUCUCAUAUACAGACCAUAGUGUGUCCAGUUAAAUCUUGGAUCAUUAAUAAAUUAUUACCCAGAUUGAAUAUGGUGAAGGGAAGACUAGAGAGACAGGAACAAAGCAUAACUAGUACAAUUUAGGAUUUAAAUCACAGUUAAGAGGAGGCAAGGAAGGGCAUGCAUGUAACUAGUGUUUGGUGGACACCUGCCAUAUGCCGGACUCCGGGGUAGAAGAUAGCAUUUUUUGCAUUCCUUAAAGUGACCUUUGUGAAUUAGAGUGCUCAUAUGUUCCAUGCACUGUCUGCAUUACAGACAUUACCUUGUGUAAGUGUUGUGUGGGGUUUGUUUGAGCUAAAAAGAUUUCCAUUUAAUCCAAGUACAUCAAAUAGCACAUGAGAACAUUUGCCACAAAGCAACCCCCCAUCCCUCCUCCCCCAGUCUCAUUCCCAACCUCGUGACCAUUUCUCUUAUUCUGGUGGUCAUCCCAGCCAGAUCUUUAAACGCUGUGUUUAUACCUUUAUUUCUUGGUACGUCAACUUUAGACACUAUUUAUUACAAAUUCUGAAUUUCUCUGUUUUAGCCUGAAAAUAUCCUUAAGUGGACCUCUUUCUGAAUGGUGACUUCACAGAACGCACAAAUUAGCUUGAUGGGGACUUUCGACACUUUGCACAUGCCCCUCCGCUGUCCUCUGUAAAUUGCAGGUGUGCAGCUAUCUGUCCAGUCAUCUUCCCUUGUUGGCAAGCGGCCUUUUCUUCUCUCUGGCUUUUAAAUCUUUGUCUUUGAUGAUUGUAUCUUGACUGCUGUGUGUUUUGAUGUGGCUUUCCUUUUAUGUAUUCUGAGUAGAUAGGAUUGUGUGAGUUUAUGGCUUUCAUACAUUUUUGAAAGUCCAUAGCCACUAUGCUCUCUUUGAAUAGGACAUCUUGCCCAUUGUGUGUGUUUUCUCCAUCUAGAAUCUGAUUAGAUGCCUGUGAGACCUCUUCACUCUGUCCUUCCCUCUUAUGCUCUGUGAUACAUUUCUUCCCUCUGUCUUUCUGAAAUAUGUUCACAAUAAUUUCUUCAGCUCUCUUUUAAUUCAAUAAUUCUGUCUGCAGCAGUGGCAGAUCUGUUAUUCAGCCUAUUCAUAGAGUUUUGAAUUAAUAUUUUUCAUGUAGAAGUCGUGUUUAGUUCUUUCUUAAGAUUGCCUGGUAAGCCCUGAUAGUCUCUCGUUUCUUACUUUGAUUCAUUGUGGUAUUCCUGCGUAACAAAUGAGGGUCCCUUUGUUGACCAUGAGUGAAGAGUUGCUGCCGUUUCUGAAGACCAAAGUCUGUCUGCAAAGUUUAAGGAAAGCCAACAUUGGAGAUUUUGUUAUCUGAACUAGAAGAGCAAUUAUCUGAGGAAAUACUUCAUUUCACUUGGCUCUUGAUGUAACUACCCCUCCUCUGCCUUUUCUAAAAUGUGAAAGACGAAAGCAGACCCGUUGGUGACAUUUUGCCAGUGACAGUCUUUAUGUGAUAUUUUCUUUUACUUUCAACAGAAUGCCCAUAAUGCUGCGUAGUUCAAACUGUGUUCUUACAGGGAAGACGCCAGCAGAAUUUGCCAAACUGAAUGAAUGUCCUUUAGAUCCAGGUAUGUGUGAUUCCUUGGAUUGGCUCCUGCUCUCCCACCCUUUUUUGGGCUUGCUUUUGCUGUUGGCUUUAACAUUUUUUCUCAAAAACAAUACCCACCUGAACUUGGACAAAACUGUGUUCACGGAACGUCUGGAAAUUUGGCCCCAACUUUAUUCUAAGGUCAACAUUUCUAAAAGGAGUACUGUUUCCUCUUUGAUUGCAGGUUUGAAACUUUAACACUCCAACAUGUGUUUUAUUGUUACGGUUUGUCAGACUUUUGUCUCUGCCCCAUGGUUUCUUUUGGUAUGCGUAGAAAUUCAAGAAUAAUCUUAUGAAGUUACUUGUUUAGCUAGGUGGAAAAAAAUUCACUUCAGCCUAUUUUAAAUGCAAUAAAGGGGCAAAAACCAAAAGUCUUUUGUUAAAAUUAAAAAAAAAUUAUACAUUUGUACUCAUUUCUAGGCAGUUUAUUUUGUAAAGUUUCAAGCUUAGCACUUAACAGAAAAAUAUUUAAUUCCUUAAUUCACGUUGAUUUAAUUUGUAGUUGCUUUACUCUAUUCCUUUAAAGUUACACUGGUGUAGAAUCACAGAAGAUUUUGAAAGAGGUUAACAAAGAACAUGACUUUCCUAGACUAUAACAAAAUGGUGCAUAAGUCAAUAUAUUGCUUUUUUUGUUUAUAUUAUGAAAUUAAAAUGAAGUCCACUUUAUUUUCUGAAUUUUAUGCAGAAAAAGCUAUGAUAAUGUUUUAUGGGUUUUAUUGAGUAUAGAAAUUUUAGGAAACAUAAUCUUAGUCUACUGUUGUCACUGAUUUGUUAGAAAAGUUAGAGCAAUUUUGAAUUUAUAUUGAAGAUUGUUGCUUAUUUCUGUGCUUAAGAAAUCUGAAGACUAUUUAACACAUUUUUUUCAUUCACCUCUUGUGUCUGUCAGAUGCUGAUAAUAUGUAUGCCAGUAAGAUCUGUUCACUGUCUUCAAGUUUAUUUUCUUGUAGCGCAUUUUUAUAAAAUCAUUUGCUGAUUUGGUCAUUAGUUCAUAAAACGGUAUCAGCAAACCCUUUCUAAUUGAGUGUUGGUCAGUGCCGUGGAGCAGAAGGUCACAGUCGUUACCAAAUCACACUGUCAGAAGAACAGGUGGUGAAACUUUUCUUGUUUCCUUUUGGCAGGUGGCUACUUCAUCGUUAAAGGAGUAGAAAAAGUGAUUCUAAUCCAAGAGCAGCUAUCUAAGAACAGGAUCAUUGUGGAGGCUGACAGGAAAGGGGCUGUUGGUGCUUCAGUUACCAGGUACGGAAAGCAGGGAUGGUAUUAACAGAAUUAUCAGUAUUUCUUAACAUCAGAUGAUUGUCUUUCAGGACAGAGGUAGCCGGUUAUGUCUGGUAACAGGCAGCAAAAUACUUAUCUAACUGUUCAGUUUAUUGUGUGAGGCUGUAAGCAUGGAACAUUGAUUUAAAAUUUUUAGCAAUGAAAAGUGUGUAAGACCUUGGUCGAAAGGCCACUAGUUAUUUUAUUCAGGUUGAAUUUUGUUGCAUUAAAGGAAACUUUGAAAAAAGAAAUAUAAAACCACUCUUCAGUUUUCCAUGUUGUUUUUACUCUUUGAUCAUUCUACAUGUGUAUUCCUACAUGGAAUACAAUCAGAGAUUACUUUAUAUUUAAUAUUUUUUGGAUUCUGUCAUGGACUUAACAUCUUAUUGUUAGUGUUCUUAACCAGCCUCUUUCACAGCAUACUCCUUUUCCUACAGCAGCAUCUCUUGUGUCCUGUAAUUUCUUUUCACUAAUUUAUUAUCAUUGGUAACUUGAAAUUUGCAAAUUAAUGAGUUUUGGGAAUAAAAAAUAUCGUAGCAUAGUUAUGAUGUCCGUAUACGAUAGUUUGUCUUCUGAUGACCUGUAAUGAAUUGCUUAACUCAGACUUUGUGCCCCUUUCUGAUGGAGAGGCAGCUAACAUUAGUGGCCGUUUAUUGAGCAGUCGGUAGGAGCCAGGCAGAGUAACAGUGCUCUACAUUAUUUGUCCCCUCAGCCCUCCAAGAUAAGUGAGCUUAUCUCCAUUUUACUGCUGAGUAACAGGCCUUGGGCUCAGGGUCCUACUGAUCAGAAGAGGUAGCCAGCAUUUGAGCCCAGAUCUAAUAAUUCUGCAACCCACGUCUUCCUAUUUUACUACUUUUUGGAACCAGGGAUUUGGGAUUUGAAUCCCAAAGUUGUUCAGUAGCUAUGAGGCACUUGGGUGGGCAGUUACACAUCUUCUCUAAGCCUUUGUUUCCUCAUAUGUGAUUUGAGACACUACUUCAAAGUACGUAGGACAUGAGAGCCAUUAUAAGUGGGGUGGGUAUGUAGCAUCACAUGUAUGUAGCAGGUGAUCAGUAGGAGUUACUAUUGUGAUUGAUUAAGCUUGGAGCUGUUAUUGGGGUUUUUUAAUGUUUAUUUUUGAGAGAGAGAGAGCGCAAGCUGGGAGAGGCAGAGGGAGAGGGAGACACAGAAGCUGAAGCAGGCUCUAGGCUCCAAGAUGUCAGCACACAGCCCAGUGUGGGGCGCAAGCCUGCGAACUGCAAGAUCAUGAUCUAAGCUGAAGUCGGAUGCUUAACGUCGACUGAGCCACCCAGGCGUCCCUGGUUUGGGUUUUUAAAAAAAAUUUUUUAAUUGUUUUUAAGUUUAUUUUCUUUGAGAGAGAGAGCGCAUGCACGCAUGUGAGUGAGUGAAGGACAAAAAGGGAGGGAGGGAGGAAGAGAGCGAGAAUCCCAACAAGCCUUGUAUUGUCAGCACAGAACCUAGCACAGGGCUCAAACCCAUGAACCAUGAGAUCAUGACCUGAGCCAAAACCAAGAGUCGGAUGCUUAACCGACUGAGCCACCCAGGUGUGCCAGAAAUGUUUUUAGAUCCAUUAGUAAUUUUGUAGUUAAUAGAGAUACCAAUAAAAAGGGAUUUCUUAGUUUCUUUUGGCUUCAAUGUAUAAUUAGAGUGUAGAUAUAUUUUACUGAAUUGUUGAUUUAAACACUCCUAGUACAUAGGGGCUCAUUUUGAGGUUUAUCUUUGGAAAUGUAUAAAAUUGCUCAUGAAUAUACCCCACACUGAAUCAAAGCAAUUCAGGUGGAAUCAAAGUGAAGUAAAUCAGAAUGAAUUGGUGAGUGUCACUCGUUGACCCACAAAACUUUCACCGUAAUCUCAAAGCUAAAGAAACAUCGUAGUAGAUUUUAAAUAUUCGUGGAAGUGGCGAGUUGUGCAUUGUUAAAAGGUAUCUGUUAGGAAGGACCUUACAGAUGGUUAUUGAUUGGUGAACCUUAUUGAUCAUUGCUGUUGCAUGUGACUAGCUUGAAACCAGGCAGGGACACAGUUUAACCAACUUUUGUUUCCCUGUAGCUCUACCCAUGAGAAAAAAAGCAGAACCAAUAUGGCUGUAAAGCAAGGUCGAUUUUAUUUGCGGCACAAUACUUUGUCAGAGGAUAUUCCCAUUGUAAUCAUAUUUAAGGUAAGGCUGCAGGUACCUACUGGAAAUUGGUUUCAUACAUUUCAUACGUUUGUUUUCAUACAUAAUUAGAAAUUUGGAGGAUAAAGAGUUCUAGGAAUAGAAAGAUUUGUGGCAUAGAUAAAUUGUCAGGUAUGUAAUGUAUUUUAAAUUGAAAGCUAAGAUCAGGAUUCAGAUAUUAAAAAAUACUAUUUUUUAGUAGCUACACAAUUAAAAAUUUUAAGGGUAUAAAGUGAGAAGUAAACCUUCCACCCACCCAUACCUAACCUCCUAGUUGUUCUACCCAGGAACACCACUGUUACUGGUUUCUUGUGCAUCUUUCUAAAGACAGUCUAUGCCUGUACUAGCACAUGAGUACAUGGUAGAGUUUUGUUCUGUUUUUUACUUGCAUACAUUGCACACCAUUUUUCAUUUAGCUUGUUUUCUUUUUUGUAACUUCUGUCUUGGAGAUUGUGUUAUUAGUUGGUGCAGAGCUACCACAUUCUGUUUGACAAACUAUUCUAUUAUGGCCGUACCACAGUUUAAUCAUCCCUCCUUCGGUGGAUACACACAUCUCUUGCUGUUAUAGAAAUGCUGUAGUAUCACGUUAUACAGGGGCAGGGGUAUCUGUAGGCUGAAUUCCUAGCAGUAGACUUUUCUAGGUCAAAGAGUUUAAGUUUUUUUUUGUUUUUUGUUUUUAGUGUUUAUUUUUGAGAGAGAAAGAAUGUGCAUGUGGGAAAGGCAGAGAGAGAGGGAAAGGGAACAGAGGAUCUGAAGCGGGCUCCACUUCUCACUGACAGCAAAGAGUUGGAUGGUGGGGCUGGAACCCACAAACCGUGAGAUCACAACCUGAACCGAAGUCAGACAUUUAACCAACUGAGCCACCCAGGCGCCCCCCAAGUUUGUUUUUUUGUGGACUCGGGAGUCUGGUGUGUUUCUACAUAAAUAUGAAUUUUAAAAUUGAUUUUUUUCAGCUUGUUUAUGAACUGGUGACAUAGAAUCCAAAAGAUAUUUUCACACAGAAAUUAUGUUUAAAUGGUAUAUACUUGUGACCGCACAGCAGCCCGUUUAACCUGCUCUGGGACCUAAAUGUUCCCCACAUUUUAUGAACACUUGUAGUAUUAGUCACCAAGCGAAAUUUAAAAAUACCAUCAUGUGAUACAGUUGACCCUCAGCAUUUGUGAAUUUUGCACUUGUCAGUUAUACGUGCUGAAAUUUAUUUGUGACCCUGAAAUCAUCACUGGUGGUGGUUUUACAGUUAUUCACAGACAUGCACCGGCUCAGAGCAGUGACAAAUUUGAGUCCCCAAGCUCUAUGUUCCCAGCUGAGGUCGAAGAAGGUGACAUUCUGCCUUCUUGUUUCCACUCUCAAGCUGUAAACAGGAGCCCUUACCAUGGUCUCUUUAGUGCCAUGUUUUUUCACAUUUUUGUGUUUUGGGGGGAGGGGGGAUUUUGCUGUUUAAAGUGGCCCCCAAGCCAGGGGCUGAAGUGAUGUCUAUCUUUUCAAAGCACAAGAAGGCCAUGAUGUGCCUUAUGGAGAAAACACAUGUGUCAGAUAAGCUGCGUUCAGGCAUGAGUUAAGUGCUGUUGGCUGCGAGUUCAGUGCUAAUGAGUCAACAACAUACAUUGAAUAAGGUGUCCUUAAGGAGAAAGCCAUGUCAAACAAGGUUCUGUAUUGAUGGGUGGAGGAAAACCUAACCAGAGGCCCGCAGGACACAAGUGCAUUUCCCAUUGGUGCAGUGCUUCAGUGUUCUCUCGUUCAGGGUUUGCAGUGCCUCCGGAGAGCACAGCAGCCGACGAGACCCGUGCCCAACUGUGUAUGGGCCAGAAGUGAAUCCUGACUAGGGCUGAUUGAAAUGAAGCGUUCAGUUUGAGUCAGUACUGAAGAGAUCUUGAGAGUGGGGACGUGGGGUGAUUUUAGGGGUUGAUAACACUUGUUUCUCAUUUAGAGUUAACUCACUUUGGAGUUAAAUGUUCCUGCUCAGCAGUUGUUAACGAUAUCUGAAACCUUUUGGGGGCUGCAAGGGGAGAAAAUAGAGAGCUUCUGAGAUGGAGGUAACUAAGCUGGUUAAAAAGGAAAAAAGCAUUUGGGUAUACACCUCAGAGGAGUAAGAGAGAAGGACUUGAACUUGUCUUGUUGGACUUGUGACCCGGCCAGGGCCCAGGAGGCGGGGAGACGGGCCCCUUCCUGUCAGGCUCUAGUUGGUUUCUGGGAGGGAUGCCCCGGGCUGUUCCUGGGUAUUGAUCAGCUGGGUUCUCUAACUCAGGAAAUAACUGCAUUCUGAAUGCAAUUACAUGGAGAGGACUGUAGGAGAUUUUUUUAAUGUUUAGUGCAACUUAAUGUGCUUAUAAGUUCUCUGAGAUGCUGGAAUUUAUUUUCCUUUUAGGACAGUGAUGAUUGACGAUGAUGAUCACAGUAGCGGUACCAUUAUAUUGGGGGGGGCAAAGAGAAGUCUUAAAUGUGCUUUUCAUUAUAUUUCUUCAAGGUUUAUAUUUUUAAAGCAUGGAAGUAAUUUUGGCAUUUCUCAUAAGGAUCCCCUAGUACCCUGCAGUGUCUUGUGUCCAUAGCGGUGGUUAGUGGGUAAAGAGAAUUUCAUCUGACUGUGUAGAAUUACAUCUCCAGCAGAGGGCAGUGUGUUCCUAUGCAUCAAAGGACUUUUAUGGAUGUUUUAGAGGCUUAAAGAUGCAUAGGACUGCCUUCCUUAGACCAGAAAUUACAAAUUAAUUCUAAUGCUCAUAGUCUUCUAUCAUUCACAUGGAAAAUACAUCACUAGACACAUGGACACAUUAAAAUCAGAAAACCUUUAUUAAAUGCUUUUUUGGCUAGGUAACAAAAUUUUGAUAAGACCGUUUCUUUCAAAUUUGUUUAUUAUGUUGCAAAUGUGUAUGUGUAUUUAGAGCCAACUUAAAUCCUUUUUAAAAUGGGCCUAUAAGUUAGCAAUAUGCAUUUUUAGGUAAUGUGUAGUUGAGAUUAAACAACAGUUCUUGAAUUGUACAAAUUUAGAAAGCCACUGAGAAGCAGAAUUCCAUUUUCAGCUACACUUUUUUUCAGACCCUUUUUCCUUUGCUUUUGUAAUAUAUACAUGGGUUUUAUUUUAUUUUUUCUGCUUCACUUACCAGUGAAUUGUGAAUAGCUUUCUGUAUCUGUAAAUACAGAGCUACAUCAUUAUUUCUGGUAGGCAUUGUACAGAAGUGUGGGUGGUAUAAUCUAUUUAACCAGUUUCUUGUAGGACAACAUUCAGGUGCCAUUUUUUCCAAGUUUUCCAUCUUAUGCACAGCCCUGAGUAUUCUUCCACAUACGUGUUUGUGCAUGUUGCUGAAUAUUUUGUGAGACUGAACUCUUGGGAAUGAAAUUAUAUGUGUUUUUAAAAAACUCGGUGCAUGUUGCCAAACUUUCUUCCUGAAAUGUAACCUUAUAUUCUAAUCAGCCAUGUGUAAGAAUUGAAACAACCAAUUAAAAUUUUUCUGUUUGAAUAAACUAAAUACAUUGGUCGCAGGUAGUCACAUUUUGUGGUCUCCCGCUAGAGGGAUGUUUUAAAAGCCUGAUGGAACCUUGUUUGAUAACUUCUAAGACUUUUCCAUCUGGGGAGCAGCACGGGAUUUGGGAGAGCUUAGCACCAGACAGACAUAGGCCUAAUUCCCACUUCUCCACUUGUUAGCUGUGUGACCUCCAGACAGAUUUCCCAGUCUCCCUGAAUCUUGGAUAACUCCCCUAUAAAGUGAAAAUUUCACCUGAGAGGGUUGUUGUGAAGAGCAAAGGAAAUCACGCAUAUUUUGAAAAGUGGAUGGCCUAGAAAGAAGACACUGUUUCUCUUGCCUUCACUCUCCUUAUGCAGGAGCAAAAUAAACUGGGCGACCAGGAAAGUCACAUCAUUUCUCUUUUUGUGUUGUGUGGCCCUAACACAGACCUUGACAGUCAUUAGGACUUGAUGGUUGUUGAUUGUAACCAACAAUUGGCUAAAAGUGACAGAAGCAGCAGGGUUUCCAGGUUUCAUGCUGGGUCUGAAUAUGAUGGCUAAAGCUUUUAAGACCUAGAUCAGCCUUAUUUAUGGACUUGAAUCACUACAAAGGUUCUCCUGCCCAUGAAUCUUUUCCCCCUUUACAUUUUGUAUUCCCAAGUAUUCAGCAGUUGCACUGUGAUGGCAUCUGUAGUCUGAAAGUUUUUACAGAAAAGAUCAGAUUUCAAGGGAGCUGGGCAUUGUUUCUUGGAAACCAACUUACAUUAAAAUUGUUGAUCUUUGAAGAGAAAAAACUGCAGAGUGAAAGAGGGCUAUUACAGUUCUUUUAUCUGCUAAGACCACUUUGAGUAAUAAUAGAUUGAUUUCUGUCUAAAGAAAGAUUAGAGACUUCUGAAUAUUAGGUAUUUGAAGGACUUAAUCCCUUCCCAUCUUUCACAUGAUACAUUUCAGCAUAUCCCCAUCAGUGGGCAGGUUUUUCUCUUCUGCUCAUUAGCGUCUGUCUUUACACGUCACACUUGUAGUCACACUUCGCGGCCAUCCAAGGAGAUUUCAUGCCGCUUUUUAAAGAGCAUAUUCUCUUACUUUUGUUCAUCUUAUUGCUGAUGGCCAGACUGGGUGACCUGCUGAAACGUAUUGUCUCUGCUAAUUGUUCAUAAGAUCAUUAUGUAGCACUUAUUUCUGAUUUAUCAGGUGAAAUGAUUUCAGAUAUCUGGAGUACAAAGAGUUCCAUAUAUAAAAGCUAGUUUUCAGAUGUCUAAAUUAAGUCUGUGAAGCAAAAUGGUUGGGCAUUUUGCUAUUGUUUCCAUAGCAAUAUGCCAUUUAUUUGUAGCUGUGACAUCCCAAGGCUAAACAGUCACAAAAUCAGUUUGGUCUUUGGAGCUAGAGCGCUUUUGAUGAUGACCUGACUUAUCACCCUGUCGUUCAGAGACCCAGUAUAGGAAGAGUUUAGCCCUUGUAGAGCAAAGCUUUGCCACUGAUGAUUCUUUCUGCACAUAUGGUGUCAUUUACCAUGUGCUUGGCAUAUCUUCACUUCAUGGCUUAGAAAUAUUUGGAGGGCCUAAGCAGUCUGUUUAGAUCCAUGUUAGAACACUUGAAAAUUUUAUGCAGUUAUCAAAUUACCGCUUAGAUUCAGUCUUGGGACAACUUGAAGCAAAAAUUCAUAAUAAUGUCAAAUGAGGAAGGACUUUUUCAUUAUUAUUAAACACCAAAAUGGGUGAUGAAGUAUAUAGUCUCUCCCAUUUGGAGAUUUCUAAACUAAAAAUUAAUUACUAAAAUAAUCCAGGUGGCCUUAGUUCAGAAGAUUUAGAUGUUGACAUGCCUAAAGAAAGGGGGUGGGUGGAUCCAGAAAGCUAUUGCCAGUUCAGCUCCAAGAUUCUUUUUCUGUCCCAGUGAGACCUUGUCCUGCUGUAUUAUCUGGACGUACUAGGUUUAGCAUCUGCCCAUAUAGCUCUCUUUUAGUGUUUGCACUUUCCUCUGAGAGGGUAGUGUAUCAGUUACAAAGUUUUAUUAUCAAAGAUUUUAGAGAAGGGUGAUUGGAUUCUACUGCAAAUUAGUUGCCCUAGUAUUGUUUUUCUUAUAUUUUUAUUCCAUUGAAAUCCACAUAACAUUCUUUUUUUUUUUUAAUUGUUUUAUUUAUUUAUUUUAGAGUGUGCACGUGUGAGCACAGGGGAGGAGGAGAGAGAGAGAGAGAGAGAGAGAGAGAGAGAGAGAGAGACAAUCCCAAGCAAACUCCAUGCUGUCAGUGUGGAGCCUGAUGCAAGGCUUGAUCUCCUGAACUGUGAGAUCGUGACCUGAGCCAAAACCAAGAGUUGAUGCUCAGGCUACUGAGCCACCCGGGUGCCCCAGAACCCGAUAAUAUUAUUUUGAGAUUGACAAGUGGAAGUUAAUUUAUGUUCUGAUUAGCUUUUCACAGAGAAAUAGUCUCUUCUGGUAUCUCUGGCUGGCUUCUUGCAGACCAAGGAGGAAACGUAUACAGCUGUCCGUACGGGCCAUAGCUGUCAGAGCACAUGCACUCAGUGCUUGUUCAAAGGAUAAUUUAGGGUCUUGUUUUUGUUUCAUUUGUUUAGAAAUUAGAAGUGAUCAUUCUCGAGGAUUGCUCUCCCUUAAUCCAUGAAGUGCUGAGUGUCUUAACGAAGUUAUGUAAUUUUUAAACAGUGGAGUUUAUGCCUAGCAUCGACGUGAACAAAUGCAUCAUUUUAAUUAGAGAUAAAAGGACAUGAAAAUCAAAGUAUACAAAAGAGAUUUGUGUCCUGAGAGCAUCUUUAUUGUUCACUAAACAAAAAAAUGUUUGGAUGAAACAAGUUACAUGUUUAAACAGGUUUUUUUUGUAAGUUUCAGUAGUGAAUCUAAUGCCAAAAGUUGGUCUGUUAGUUUUUGUGCAAAUUCAGCAUAGUUUCUGUCGUCAGAGAUUUGGCAGUUGCUUGCCUGGGUGGCUCAGGCUCAGGGUCUUUCAUGAGUCAAGAUGUCAGCCAGGGCUGAAGUCAUCAAAGGCUGGGCUGGGGCGUGGGAAGGUCUGCCUUCAUGGUGGCUCCUCCACAUCAGACCUUUCCGUAGAUGGCUCCGGUGUCUUCAUGACACUACCCGCGGCUAGCUUCUCUACCCACCCCCCCACCCCCACCCCAGAGGAACACUCUAAGAGAAAGAGCAAGCCAGAGGCUGCAGUGCUGUUUCUAACCAGGCUCCGAAGUUGUACUCUGUGGCUUCCACUUUUUUUUCUGUAGAAGCGAGUCAUUAAGUUUAGCCCACACUCGAAGAGGAGAAUUAGUUUUUUACCUUUCGUAGAGAGGGUCAAAGAAUUGGCGAACCUUUUCUAAACCGCUACGGUUUGCCUCAGAGGGGGGACAUAGCAUAUAUUUAGCUCCCCGCCCCCCGAAAGCUUCUAACUUUCGGUAAGUUGACAUCUGAUCCUAAAGCAUCCAGAUGGAAUUUCUGGAUGAGAGAUUACUCAGAGUCAAACGGAGGACUGUAGAAUUUUGAAUCUUCUUGUUACAGAAAUGAAGAAAACUGAGGUGGACAAGGUGACGGGACGGUAGUGGUUGUGAGGUCUGUCUUUGACCUUGCUUUAGGAUGGACACCUGAGAUCCCUUGACCUAGAGAGGUGCCCUCUCUGUUGUACUCCGGCGCGUGUUCUCGAUGUUCCUUACUGGAACUUGAGAUUCAGUUUUCCCUUUCUCCCUCGUGUGUGGAGAACUAGGAACCAGAGCAUCGAAUCCUCACUAGAUAGUUAUUCCUGGUCCUGGUUCUUUAGCAUAGCUAAAGGAAGAAUUUUAAUGCAAACAUAACUUUUCCCCUAACUUCUAAGAAGCAGAUUCUUUCUCCGCCAAGAGAGGUGUAGUGAGAUUAUGCUCUAUUUCUUGAUGUGGCAGAAUUCCAGGCAAGUGUGUGAAGGAGUGAGCCUUCGUGGCAUAUGGAAUCUACAAAGACCUGUGCUGCCGGCUGCCACCUUGAAACACUUAAGAGAAGCGGGUUUCCUAAACCUCUUGAGUGUGUUUUUAGUGUUUUAAAAAACCUCUUUUUAAACUUGCGUAAAGAAUAGCUUGAUAUCUCCAGACUAGUGAGGUAAAACAUCCUUUAAGAAAAAUCCCUUUAGCCUAAAUGUGAACGAUUUGACAGUUCUCAGAAAAAUUAGUCUUGUGACAAAAUUAAUUGGGGUUCUGUUUGUUUUCAGCGAUGUGUAUUUUCUGAUUAGUGCCCUUUGGGUGUUUUGGGGUUUUUGUUUUUUGUUUUUUGUUUUUGUUUUCAGUUUGUUUUUGUAAUUGUGACCAGUGUCUCCACUAUACCUUCCUACCUCCUUUUUUCAUGAUGAAACUCCUAGGCUAUUUAAACAUUUUAGAAGAUGACACACAUGCAAAAAGUGCUUGAGAAUGUUUGUUUUCGUCUUCCGAAUCAAAAUUUCUGUUUUCAGGUUCUUCUGCAGCUUGUGCUAUGGCUGCCAAUGCCAGAUGGCACCAUUUCUGAGAAAAGAGCUAGCUUUUGCUUAGAAGUAAUACCCACAAACAAUGCCGAAUUAGCAUAAGCAAAUGUCAGUGAGUUAACACAAAGCCAACACUCUUUCUAUCUUUUCUUUCCUUCCUAGGCCAUGGGUGUGGAGAGUGACCAGGAAAUUGUACAGAUGAUUGGAACAGAGGAGCACGUGAUGGCUGCAUUUGGGCCCAGUCUGGAAGAGUGCCAGAAAGCUCAGAUUUUCACACAGAUGCAGGUGUGUCUUUUCAUGUCGUCCUUUGCUAUGAAAGGGAAUUGGAGAUUUAAUGCUGCCCAUGGAUAAAGCAUCGGAUGCAGUCACUUCUUGGGGUGUAGGUGUGGGAGGGUGUUGGGGAGGACCAGUAGAGAAGCUUCUUUGACUUGUGCUUUAGGAAUUAGAAGAAGGAAUUUGCCUUGACAGAUUAUCAGCCUGUGGUGUCUAACUUGGAAGGGGGAUAUGUGGCCAAGAGGCUUUUGUUCUGAUAUAAUAGCAAGUGUGCUUUUUUCAUUUAUUUGCCUAAAUGAUUUAUGAUUUUGAACUACAACAACUCCAGUGUAGAAGACUUUUUUUUCCCUCAGUUCUCCUCAAUUUCCCUUUUAUUCCCUACUUCCAGUUGCUUUCAGUGUCCAGUGUGGUCUGAAUCCCUUUUUCUGAAUUCCCAGCGUCAUCAGCAAGAAAAUUCAAGAUCAGAAACCCUUUACCAGGGUAGAGCUCUGUAGAGCCUUCAUUGACCUGCUAAGGAAUUCCUAGUUGGAACCUGGGGAUUUUAGGACACAACACUCAAAGAUGAAGACAGGGAGAUAUAUAUGCUAAACAUAAUAAAAUGAAUUGUACUUCCUGCCCUGGUGACAGGGAGCCCUAAUGCCCACAUUUAGGAUGUUUAGUCCCACAUUUGUAAAGUACUUUGCUCCAUGUAAAGUGGUGGCCUUACUCAUAGCCCUGGGAGGCAGGGAUUCCCUGCUAUCGAAGCACAACAGACUGUUCUUACAUAUCCAUACGUACAUUGUCUGUUCUGUGGGUUACUUUCAACAAGGUGUAAAUUCCAGGCUGCUUUUUCCUUGUUACCCAGGAUGCUUGUAGAGGUAGCAUUUUCCCACUUACAUCUGUUAGUGUGUGUUGAUGUUUUCUUAGAGUCAGAAAAACAUUCAAGAAGGUUGAUCGUUGUAUGUCAGUGUAUAUAUAAUCCCAAGGCACAAACCAGUAGGGAUUAUUAUUACUGCCUUCCUCUUUUUAUGCAGUUAAGUAAUAGCUCCAGUUAUUGGGCAGGUGGCAUCAGGAGAAGUUGUUUGGAUCUAGGAGGUUCUAUCUGUGGUCUUUAUUGAAAACGAAAUACUUAGUGUUCAUGAAUCUUUGUUUCCAACUGGAAUUGUACUGUACAAGGGUUCCAAGAACAUGAAGAGGAAACGUUAAGAAACAGCCAGGAGUUGGCUCAAUGUGGGGAGACACGCUCUCUCCUUCAAAGCUACGAAAUGCUGAGAAGAGCAGUUUACCUUAAUGGUAGUUCAGCGGAUUCAGUGAGAUCUGUGAAUAUUCAUUUCAUAACAGAUAGCAUCAUUGUUGCUCAGAUAACCCUGUAACACCAUGGUGUGGCUUGUGUGAAAAGGCUAAAUAGUGGGUUGCAAAAUCAUUUAUUUUUUUUAAAUAGGUGCUGACAGAAAGUUAGCUAACUGAAUGAGAGAAGUUCAGUUAAAGGUGAGGGGAAUAUACAAACAGGGGGUGUAAGGUUGACAUGGUUUGUACUCUGUGUGCUGGAUUAGAACAUUGAAUAAUUAUUCGCAGCUAAUAAGAGGCUAUAGAGAAAUGCAUACUCCGAAAUGGUUGGUAAGUUGAACACGAGUUCGGGCAGUGUGGCUAUUUGUUAUUCUAAGUGAACAUGGAGCAGAUCUGCAGUGUAUUCUUCUAUAAUAGAACUUUUGACAACAUGGCACUUAGUGGAUUGCUAAACCACCUGCGUUGUGUUUGUGUUUAAUGCCUCCCUUCUCAGUCUCUCCUCCAUUCCUUCUGCCCACAGAGCCUUUUGCUGGGCCUUGGUCACGGACGUUUUCUAUCAUCCUUGUCAAGGGCUGUGGUAUAGAGAGAAGAAAUUAUUAGCCUUUUGGAGGAUAGGAUGCACUUGGGGGUGUCAUCUUGGCCUGUUCGUGACCAGACUGGGCUCUUACCCCAACCCUCACACUAUGAACCCUUGGCAACAUUAUUAUUUUAGGGAAGAGCUGACUUUUGCUGUAUAGAAGGGAUACUGGGCUCCCCUGUGUUCCUCUGUUUUUCCCUCAAAGUGAAGGAUCUUUAGCCUCUUUCCCAAGGGAACUGGAAGACCAAAAUUUAAUGAGGACAGCUUAGUUUAGGGAAGACUGAACUGCCUGUCUCUUGGCAGUUCCCACUGACUGUGGGCUUGCUUUCAUUAGUUACUCGGUCCCCACUUGCUGCUAGGUCCCUGCAGCAAGGCUUGGCACAGUCUUAGUUUAUCAUCUGCUCUAACGGAUGUUUAACUGAGAAGAUCCUGGGUCUGAUGUCCCGAUCUCACCACGGAGGAGUUCUGUUCAGUUCCUGGCCCUGAACCAGUCAGUGAGAAUCAAAGAAAAAGAUGACACAACGUCUAGUUGGAGAGACAUACCCAUAAAUAGACAAUCAAAUUACGGUGUGGUCUGAAGUGGAAAGAAAGCACUUAGUUCUUUAUCCAUAAGGAAUUCCAGUAGAGAAAAAGGAGUGGGGUUAGGAAGGCUUCAGAGAGGAAGUGAUACCUGAGCUAAGUUUUGAAGCACAGAAAAGAAAUUUCCCAGACAUUCAACUGGGGACAGGAAUUUCAAGGUAAAUAAUCAGGAAUCCUAGCCCUCUCUUCUAACGGAAAGCCAAUUUAAAAAAACAAACAAACAAAAAAGUGCGUUCAUUUGUUGCUACAGAAUAAUAAGAACCACAUCAUCUUCUUCUUGAAGAACUUUUCAUUAUGGGAAAACCUCAACACAUACAAAGUAUACAGAUUAGUAUUAUGAAUCCUCAUGUGCCCACCACACAGUUUUGAUAAUUACAAAACGCUUUGACAUUCUUGUUUCAUGUAAAUGUCUACCUACUCCUCACCAGUUAUUUGAUUAGUUUUUAAUACUUCAUUUUUAUAUGUACAUUUCAGCAUACAUAAAUUCUAAGUCUUAAUUGCACAAUUGUGCAUAAUUUUUAUCACAUGUAGAAUAUUUUUCCAUUACCCUGGAAAGUUCCUUCAUGCCCCUUCUUAGCUACUUUUUACCUCUGUCCUCUGAUUUUCUUCCCCACUGUUCUGAUUUUUCACCACAGAUUAAUUUUGCCUGUUCUAGAACUUUAUAGGUGGAAUUAUGCAGUAUGUACUUUUCUGUGGCCAGUUUCUUUUGCUGAGCGUACUGGCUGAUAUUCAUCCAAGUUGCUUUUAUGUCAUUUAUCCACGCAGUUCCAUUUUAUUACUGAAUAGCAUUCCAUUGUAUGAAUAUACCACAGUUUAUUUUUUCCUGUUGAUGGGCACUUGGUUGUUUCACUCGGGAUGAAUAAAGCUGCUGUAUGCAUUCCUGUACAAGCCUUUGCCUGGACACUUCAGCAUUUCUCUUGGAUAAGUACCUACAAAUAGGAUUGUUGGAUCAAAGAGCCAUUGUGAAUAUAACUUUUUAUAAGGUUGGAACUGCCACACCUUUUUCCCAAGCAGUUGUACCAUUUUGCAGUCCCACCCCCCUGUGUGAGAGUUCCGAUUGCUCCGCGUCCUCACCAACAUUUGGUCUUGUCAGUCCUUUUGAUUUUAGCCAUUCUACUAGGCGUUUAGUGGUGUCUGUACCAUUGUGGUUUUAAUAUGUGUUUCCCUGAUGACUACUGAUGUUUAACACUUUUUCAUGGACUUACUGACUGACUUUCUUGGUGAAGUAUGUCCAAAUAUUUUGCUCGUUUUCCUCGUUGAGUUGUCUUUUUAGUAUUGAACUUAAAAGUCCUUUAAAAAACAUUCUGGAUAUAAAUCCCUUGACAGAUUUAUGUAUCAUAACUUUUUUUUUUUUUUUGGUUUGACUUACAGUUAUUGAUUUCUGUCCUGUGUAAAGAAAUUUCUCUUACUCCAAGGGCAAGAAUAUGGUUCUAGUAUUUAUGCUUAUGUCUGAAAUCCACUUAAACUAAUAAUUUUUUUAUUUGUUGUGAGGUAGAGGUCAGAGUUAAUUUUUUACUUUGUAGCUGCUUAAUUGUUUCAACAACAUUUGUGGAAAAGAUUUUCCCUUGCGGAUUGAAUUGCUUUGGUACUUUUGUCAAAAAUCAUCUGACCAUGAAAGCAUGGGUUUAUUUCUGGAUGUAUUUUCUUCCAUUGAUCUAUUUGUCCUUAUGCCAGUAUCACACUGCCUUGAGUACCAUAGCUUUCUAAUCAAAAGUAGGUAAUGUAAAUCUUCCAACUUUCCUUUUUCAAGAGCACUUUAGCUAUUCUAGGUCUUUUGCAUUUCCAAGUAAAUUGUAGAAUCAAUAGAUUUUUGGUCAGUUUGGAGAGAAUUGUAACAGUAAGCCAUCUUAACACUAUUAAACCUUCCCAGUCCAUGAAAAUGACAUAACCCUCCAUUUACUUAGGCUUUGUUUUCUCCCAGCAAUGCUUUGUAGCUUUCAGGAUAGAGGUCUUAACAUGAUGGGCUUCCUUUUUGAGGGAAAAGAGGCACAGCUCCAGAAUGUUAACUGUGGACAGUGGUUCUCUCUGGGAGGAGGAUUGGUGGCUGCUUCAUAUACGUAAUGCAUGUGUGUAUAUAUGGAUAAUCUGUUCAUUUGUAUAUUCUAAACUUCCUACAGUGAUCAUGUAUCAAUUUUGUAAUAAGAAAACUAUAAAAUAAGGGAACCAGUGUAUUGGACAGCAUAUAAUGCUUUUUGUCAUUGAUCCAUGACAAAUGUUGAUUUUUGACUAAACCUCAUGCAGCAUUCUCUAUAACCAGAAUCCUUGUCUUUUUGCUUAUAGUGUUAUGUAUGGGUUGGUGUUUAAUAAAUUUCCUCUAGUGGUGUCAUUCAAACAUCAUUAUAUUCUGUUUUUAUAGGCGUUAAAAUAUAUAGGGAACAAAGUAAGGAGGCAAAGGAUGUGGGGAGGUGGACCAAAGAAGACCAAAAUAGAGGAGGCAAGAGAACUCCUGGCUUCUACCAUCCUGACACACGUCCCAGUGAGUAGCACUGAACAAGUGUGAGCUGUGGUCAUUGUGGGGUCCUUGUGUUGAAGAAUUUUGAAUACAAGUUUACAUUAAUUAAAAUCUGGUUCUGUAAGAAAAGAGAGACUCUGAAAAGGACUGGACUGCCCCCGUGGAAAUAAUCUCCCAUUAUCAGUGGUUUAUUUGUACUUUGGGAAUGUUAGCUGUAUUCCAUCAUUAUUAUCCUGUUUACUCUCUUGUGGUUCUUUUGAUUUAAAAUUACAGUUUUUUAUAUUCAUACCUAUAUUAGUGCUGCUACUAGAUUUCAUGGUUUUGAAGGGCAGAGAUGGUGUUAGAUGUUUGUUUUUUUUUUAAUUUUCACAUAUAUUUCGUAUAUAUAUAUUUCAUACAUAUAUAUACACAUACAUAUGUGUGUGUGUGUAUAUAUAUGAUACAUAUAUAUAUAUGUAUAUGUUUUUAUUUAUUUUUGAGAGAGAGACAGAAUGUGAACGGGGAAGGGGCAAACAGAGGAGGAGACAGAGAAUCCGAAGCAGGCUCCAGGCUCUGAGCUGUCAGCACAGAGCCUGACGUGGGGCUUGAACUUACGACCCAUGAAAUCAUAACCUGAGCUGAAGUUGGACGCUUGACCAGCUGAGCCACCCAGGAGCCCUGAUGGUAUUAGAUGUUUUCAAAUGAAGCAAGCUUAUAGGGCCUUGCUCACUUAUUCUUUUUAUUGUAAAAUACAUAUCAAAAUUUACCGUCUUUAAGUAUACAGUUCUGUGGCAUUAAGUACAUUCUCACCGUUGUGCUACCAUUACCAUCAUAGAUACUUUUUUAAAAUACUAGUUGGUUUAUCUCCUAGACCUUGAAUUUAAUUUAAUUUGAUUUGAUUUUAAGUUUAUUUAUCUUGAGAGAGAGCAUGCAAGUAGGCUUUGCGCUAAUAGUGAUAUGGGGCUCAAACUCACGAACCGUGAGAUCAUGACCCGAGCUGAAAUCAAGAGUUGGACACUUAACUGAUUGAGCCAGCCAGGUGCCCCAUAGACCAUGAAUUUUAGAGUUCACAUUGUCCAGCCACCUUUACUUACAGUACAGAUUCUCCAGUCCAGACAAGCUGGAUGGUUUGUCUUGCCACCCAGCUGGUUAGUAGACAGAGAGCUAGAAUCCAUCUUUUGGCCUUGGAACCUGUGCUUAAUGCAGUUGACCCUUGAAUAAGACGGGUUUAAACUGUAUGGGUCUACAGAGAAAGACAGAUACCAUAUGUUUUUACUCUUAUGUGGGUCCUGAGAAACUUAACAGGAACCCAUGGGGGAGGGGAAGGGAAGGAAAAAAAAAAAAGGUUAGAGUGGGAGAGAGCCAAAGCAUAAGAGACUCUUAAAAAAUGAGAACAAACUGAGGGCUGAUGGGGGGUGGGAGGGAGGGAAGGGUGGGUGAUGGGUAUUGAACAGCACAUCUUUUGGGAUGAGCACUGGGUGUUAUGUGGAAACCAAUUUGAUAAUAAAUUUCAUAUAUUUAAAAAAUAAAAUAAAAAAUAAAAUAAAAUAAACUGCAUGGGUCCCCUUAUAUGUGUUGUUUUUUUCUUUCACUAAGUACAGUGCAGUACCAUAAAUAUAUUUUCUCUUCCUUAAGAUUUUCUUAGUCACAUUUUUUCCCCUCUUAUUUUAUUGUAAGAAUACAGUAUGUAACAAUCAAAAUAUGUGUUGACUGUUUAUGUUAUCAAUAAGGCUUCUGGUAAACAGUAGGCUAUUAGUAGUUAAGUUUUGGGGGAGGUAAAAUUUAUACAUGGAUUUUCAACUGUGCAAGGAGUCGAUGCCCCACAUGCCUAUGUUGUUUAAAGGCCAGUUGUAUUUACUUUUUAUUAAUUUACCAUUAAACAGAGAUUGGCCAUGAGGGAUGUGGGCCAUGAGGGAGUAAUCAUUCCUCUCCAUUUACUAUAACGUUACCCUUUCUAAGUGAUAGUAUUAUUUAUUAGACAUUCUUACUAACCAAAUACUGUAGUCUGGCUUAUAAUGAGUGUAUUGUUCAUGUGUAUUAUUCACAAAUGAUCUAAUUCUAGGGUUACAUACUCUCCCUUCAGGAACUGAUCAUAAAGGAAAGUCAAGGGAUCUGUGGAAGUGGACAGUGACCACCGAAAUACAUUCAGAUUGGAUAUUCUUAUUUUAAGUUUUUUUUUUUUAACGUUUUAUUUAUUUUUGAGACAGAGAGAGACAGAGCAUGAACGGGGGAGGGGCAGAGAGAGGGGGAGACACAGAAUGGAAGCAGGCUCCAGGCUCUGAGCCAUCAGCCCAGAGCCCGACACGGGGCUCGAACUCACGGACCGCGAGAUCGUGACCUGAGCUGAAGUCGGACGCUCAACCGACUGAGCCACCCAGGCGCCCCUGGAUAUUCUUAUUUUAAAACACCUUGUUGGCUAAAUAAUAUACAGAUCUCUGAUUCUGCCAUUUGUAUGUGUUUUGACUAAUUCAAAGAAUUAGAAAAUUCUUAAUAUCAAAACUAGGUCUCAAUAGAAUUUUAAAUUCUGGAUGACCAUUUAAAAGUCAGGACAGCUACAGUGAGUGUCUCUGGCUCCCCACUGCUUUUCCAGGCAGCCUCUCUCUGUCUCCAGCAGAGACAGAGACAGUCUCUUGGACUGCCUCAGUGCCUCAGGACCCAGAGAAAGGAAGUGGUAACUGCGAGUCCAUGGGCCAGCCCAGGGAGGGUGGUGGGCUCCACCUCUUUGAGGGAAAGGCAUGAAAUGUACGGGGAAGGAAGGAAGGAGUUGAUAGUGGCUAAUGUGCAUUGUCUCAGAAAUUUUCUCUAACUCCUAUAUCACAGGUUAAAGAAUUCAAUUUCCGAGCAAAAUGUAUCUACACUGCAGUGAUGGUGCGAAGAGUGAUUCUGGCCCAAGGAGAUAACAAAGUGGACGACAGAGACUAUUAUGGUAACAAGCGAUUGGAGUUGGCAGGACAGGUGAUUUAAUUACUUUAUGUCAGUGGGCCUGAGCUUCAGGUGUAGGUGUGGGGUUCAAGGUUUUUCAAAGCAUUAAUGCUUACUCAGAAUCCCAGUAUUAAAUAAAAACGGAGCCUCUCUGGCCGAGGUGAGGUAUAAGGGCUUAUUUCUCUACCUGCUGUCUCUUUCCUCGCGUCUCCUCUGGGGGAUUCGUAAAAGUUUGCUCUGUAGCCCAAAGUGUAGACUCUAGCGGGGUCCCUGAUGAUCUUGCUCCACUGUACCUUUCUAGCCCUGUCUCAUGCCAAGGCAGGCCACUUACAUCUUCCCAAACACUCCAUGAUGCUCUUUCAUCCUUCCACACCUUUGAGUUCUGCCUUCUGCCUAAGUUGCCCCUCUCCCGUGUCCCUUUACCCUCCCCCAACUGAGGAGCUGCUAUCCAUUCUUCAUUCUUGGAGUCACCCUCUUUGAAACCUUCUGUGAACCCCAGGAGAAGUUAGUUGCUCUGUCUUCCAAAUGCCAAAGACACUUUGUUCAGGUCUUUAUUUAUAUGCUAAAGUCUACAUAAUUCUUUACCUGCCAGCUUCUUCCCCCUGCCCUAGACAGUAAGCUCACUGGGGACAAGAAUACUUUAUAUUCAUCUUUCUAAUCCUCCUGUAAAGUGCUAGGCACCAGAGAUGCAUUGGUGAGUGACACUCUCUGAGGCACCUGGUCUCAAGAGUGCAUUUUGGUAGGGGAGACAGUGAACAAAUAAACAGCAAAGAAAUGAGAUGAUAUUAAACAGUCAUAUGUGUUUAAGGAAAACCCCAAAUAGGCUAAUGUUAGAGAGUUGGGGUGUUGGUGGAGGAAAGGUAUGUUACUUUAGUCAGCAUGAUUAGGAAAGAUCUCUUUGAAAAAAGUGCUGUAUUUUAAGCUGAGCCCUCAGACAUGCCUCUGAGAAUUGAAUGAGAAGAAACCAGUCUCAGGCAGCCUUGGGAACUGCAUUCCAGCAAUAGCCCUUUGCACAUGUGCACAGCCCUGCACAGUUCCAGCACCAGGGGGCUGGAGGAGGAUCAGGGCAGCUGGAGUGCAUGAGGCAGUGGGGCUGGGGGGGGGGGGGGGGCGCAGGGAGGGUGCAGAGGACAUUGGAGAACUAGUCUGUGGGCCAUGGAAGGGGUUUUGGAUUUCGUUUUCCUUGUAGUGGGAAACCACUGGAGAAUUAUAAUCACGGAAGUGACAUGAUCUGAUUUUUAUUUUAGAAAGCGCUGAUAUGGAAACGAACAGGCCAGGAAUGAGCCAGUUAAGAGGCUGUGACAGUAUUGCAUGUGACAGAUGUUGGUGGCUAGGAUAACAGAUACUACAACUACAACUUUAAAAGUAGGAUUAAAAAGUGAUAGCAGUUUUAGGUUUUGGAAGAAGGUUAGUGUCUGGACUGCUGGGGAAGUUCUGUGUGGUUAAUGGUUGAUGCUAGCAGGUGGGUUUUCCGCCACCUUCAGAUUGACCUCUGUUCAGGGUAUCAUGGGUAUCCCCACCACCAUCAGUCCCAAUUUUUAGUUAUUUAAUUGGCAAAAAUCAUGCUGUUAAAUGAGUUCAUUAAAAAAAUGUUGAUUGUUUAGAAGCAUAAGUAAUGGAGUCAGGAGAGGAGAGACUAUCCUGUUGCUUAAAAAAUUAGAAUUAAAAAGAGAGUUCCCGUGUGCAAGAAAACAUUGCUUUAUAAACAAUGUAAAGACAUAAAAGGCAUUGUGUUGGCAAAAAUGUGUAAAAACAAUAGCUGCUAAUUUCACACCCCAUGGGAUGAGGGAGUAUAAAUGUGCUUCAGCUUUAGAUAACAGAGCUGGAUCCACUGGCCAAGUGGGUUCACAGAGCUUUCCCUCCGUCUCUCUGCCACCAGAGGGCUGGCAGGCCAGCCGCCAGUAGAGGUGUUAGCAAAACCUACCGAUUUCAGGCUUAAUCUUUUCACCUACCUUUUCUUUUUCGGUAAUGUGUUCAUUAUUUGCUGAGCAUUACUCUAUUCUUUGUCUGCAAAUUUUUUGUUUCUAAUGCAGCUCGCUUUGUAUGGGUGAGAUAUGGAACGGCACCAAAAAUCCGGCACCCUGGAAAGCCAGGGAUUUCCACCCUGUGACAAAAGAAUGCCGUCUUGACUUCAGAGAUUGCCUAAUCCCAGCUGUUCUGAUAAUGUAAUUAAGGCUGCCUAAUGUCUUUAAUUUUGCAACCAGUUUGUGUGAAAAGGAGAAUUUGGCACUCUGAAGGCUUAACACUAAAUAGCAAUCUCAAGACGCCUAAUUAGAAUUCUCUGACAUUAAGCUAAUUGGUGAAACUGUAUUUCAGCAGCUUAACUUCUUUAUUAAUUUUUUUUAGCAUUUUCAUUGAAAAUCAAUUGAUGAGCUGUCAGCAUUUUUUCCUUAAAUAUAAUUUGCUCUUUAGUGUUCCUGUCGCAAGCUGGCUGGAAGGCCUAAUACUAGCAAUGAAAGGUGUUGAAUAUUAUCACCAGCGUUUCAUCUCUUUUAAUCAUUUUACUCUUGACCUAGAUAAUGUGGCUUAUUGUGUGAUUUGGCCUUGUAGUUUCCUACUGCCCUGUGAACUGGAGAACGUAAUUUCUCUUAAACCAAAAAUCUAGAGGGGGAGAAAUUUAAUGAGGCAGUAGUUCUGUGGAGUGUGCUCUUAAUGUUUUACUUGUUUAGGACAAGAGGCGUUUCCUUGCGUUUGAAUCGGGGGGCUAUGGCGAAUUCAGCUGGGAUCCAAGAAACUUUGUCAUAAUUUGAGACACAAAAGUCUAAGUGUAAAGGACUAAUUAAAAUAGAGCUGAGCCUUUGUGGUUUAGGUUAAGGGCAUUUGCUUCUGUUCAGGAGGCUUAUUCAAGUUCCUUUUGCCAGUUUCCACAGGAAGUUGCUGCAAUGGGCCUCUUCAUCCUGCUCACCCCUCUGCACCUGCUUCCAUUCCCAUAUUCUUUCCAUGAGUGAAGCUGCUGGGUCUGAGUUGAAGAAAGGAUUAAGCUCUCAGAGGAGGAAGUUUUCUUUUUAGAACACUUCUGACAUGGUACAUUCAAGUCCAAGGUCCUGGCUCUCCUCUCUGCAAAGUUGAUUUUAGUAGAAAAGUGGAAGGACAUGUCCUAACUUAAGGGGGAAAAGCAUAAAAUCACAUUCCACUUUGGCAAUUCUUCAGCAGUUGGCUCGAGGAGAAAACUCAUUUGCUUUGAAUAUCUUCUUCAUUAUGAGUCCAGAAGCUACCUAUGGGUUAUAAACAUUCAAGAAUAUAGUCAGUAUGGAACUUGGAUAAUCUUUAGCUUACAUGGUUUCGCUGAGUUCAGAAUUCCCACUUCAGUAAAUAGUGUAUAUAUGAUGCCCCCAUGAUAUUACUUUAAUGUUUUUUUAGGUGACUUAGAUUACAAAGACAUCAAGCUUUUUUCUUUCUCUGUAAAGGAAAAAAAAAAAUGCCUACAAAAGGGAGAAAAAGAAACUAACGCAAUUAAUUGUACAGAGGCACUGAAGUGUUUGUAGUAUCUAUUAUAUUUGAUUGUUGAAGAAGCAUACCUGCUGUUUGUUUGUAGUGAGCCACCAGUUUAGUUUUGGGAACUUUUUAUAGAUGGUAUUCUGGUUAUCUGUUGCUGUGUUGCAUGCUAUCCCAAAACUGUGGCUUAAAUUAACAACCAUUUCAUUAUACCUCACAGUUUUGUGGGUCAGGAAUUCAGGCAGGAUUUGGCUGUGUGAUUCUUUUGUUUUACAUGGUGUUGAUGGAGGUCAGUUGGUGGUACUCUGCUAUAGGGUGUGGGAAGGGUGGAAGGCUGGUCUUGGCUAGGGCCUGACCUUUCCAGUGUUGUGGCAAUGGAGUGGCUCAGGGCUCCAAAUGAAUGUUUCCUGGGAACAAGACACAACCAGUACAGCCUUAAUGACCUAGUCUUCAGCUUCGUUUAUUUCUACCCGAUUGGGAAAAAUCGGUUACAACCUCCACCCAGAUUUGGGGCAGUGGGAAGAUUUGGGCCACAUUUCUCAAUGUGUAGUUCAGGGGUCACCCAGAGAUUUGUAAGUUUACAUACAUAAUUGGGGUUUCCUCCCUGUGGUUCUGUGAUUUUCCCCUUUCCAGCUGUUGUGGUAGCACAGAUCUUUUUCCUCUGGGUCUUCAAUCCAGUAAGAUGUUGGGUCUCUCUCUGAGUUUUAGCUUCUCAACGUAGCUUUGACCCUUCUUACCAAUGUGGCCUCCCUUAAUUGAAAAGCCUUAACAACGGGAAAUGCACCCAGUGCCAUUCACUUUUGAGACAUGUUGGCUUUCCUCCAGUUUCUGCCUGCUUUUAGACGCUCUUCAGUGGCCUCAGAUAGUUUUGAUAUUUUGUCUGGAGUUUAUAACUAUUAGCAGAUGAGCCCAUCUGAUAGGAGCUUCUCUACCAAUUCUGGAAACAGAACUGUUCUUGUCUGUUCUUAUGACUUCCUAUUACAUCCCAUUGACUUGGUUUCUGUGGUUAUACUAUUUCAGAUAGUUACCAUGGCUUAAUAUCAUUUAAUACUUUAUUAUGUAAUUUUUAACAUGAAAAUAAAAAUGUUACAUAAAGUUUUGAAGGGUACAAGUAAAAUCAACACCCUCAGAGCCACUCUCUGACUUAAUAAUUCUUAAUAAUCAACCGUUAAUACCAUUCCGUUAACCGGUGUAUUUCUUCCUUACUCUGUUUCUCUUUUCCCCUUAUCCUGAAUUUUUGCACUUUUUUUUAUUAUAUCAUCUGAAUUUUUAAUUUAAAAAAUGUAAUAUAUAUUAUUAAAGUAUAAGUUUUGCUUAUUUUUGAGUUUUGUAAAAAUAGAUUCAUACCAUGUACCUUUUUCUGGAACAUUUUCUUCAUUCAACAUUGUUCUUAAGAUCUGUAUUGUUGGGUGUCACUGUACUUCCAGUUUUGUAUUAUAUUCCAUUGUAUAUAUGGAAUAUGAUAUGAUAUAGAUGAUAAAUAACACUUUAUCCAUUCUACCAGUCAAGACCUUUGUAUGAUUUCCCUUUUUAAAAAAUAUUAACAUUCAUACUUAUUUUUUCAGGUGCCCAUAUGCAAGAGUUUCUACAAAUAGGAUUGCCAAAUCCUAGAGUCAAGUUAAAUCUUCAGUUUAACUGGAGAAUGUCAAACUAGUUUCCCAAGUAUUUGUACAUUAUACCGUAUAUGAGUUCCUGAUCAUCUCCAUUCUAUGCCUUAGUAUCAAACUUUAAAAUUUUUGUGGUGUUAAUUUGCAUUUCGUUUAUUACUAAUGAGGUUGAGCCUCUUUUACAUAUGCUUAUUGACCAUUCCUGUUUUUCCCUCUUUGAAAUGCUUUUUGGGUUGUUUGCAUUUUCCUUAUUGAUUUAGAAUUUAUUUAUUUAUUUUUUGUAAUUCUAGGUUUUGCUGGUGGUUUCCUCAUGGUGACUUUCAACUAUAUAUUCCUCUCUAUUUCUCUCCUUUAAAUUUCUUUUAAACCAGGAAUUAAAUUGAGAGGCUAGAUCAAAUUCAAGUUCUUUUUUUUUAUUUUUUUUUGGCUAGAAUGCCAUUGUACAGUUUGCUGUUAUAUCCUAUCAGGAAGAAUAUGACUAGUUGUAUCUAUAUUUGGUGCCAUGGGAAUUGAUCACUGGGAAUUUGAUCCCAUGGUGCCAUGAGAAUUGAUCAUUGGGAUCUUUCUCUCAUGUGAGAGAGAGAAAUUCCAGGGAAAUAUCCAGUAUUUGGGACCCUGAUUCAUCUGUGAAGUUCCCCAUCAACUUUUCUCCUGAUGGUUUUAUUUAACAGCUGAUGAUGAUUAUUCCAUUAUCCAUUGUUUAAUUAGGGCAUGGAAAAUAGUGAUACUUUUUCUGCUUAUUUUGGCUAGAAUUUUUCAAUAAAGAAUACUUUUCAGUAUCAUCUCUUUGGUUUCCCUGAGACAUAAUUUAUAUGGAAAAGGGAGAAUAAAUGCUUGCUGGAUUUUUUUUUUAGCCAGUUUACAGAGUGUUAAUUUAGCUCUCUAGUUACCUCCACAGAUGAAGGGUUGUUUUUUUUUCUUUCUAUCAUCAUAAACUUAGGAAUUUUAACAUUUCAACUUAAGUGUUAGAAUUACUGUCUCCAUUAAAAAAUAAUAAUAAAAAGCCUGCUAGUUUUUGAUAGAGAUUGCAUUUGAAUUUAUAGAUUUGGGGGAGAAUUGACAUCUAAAUACUGAGUCUUCUAAUCCAUGAACAUAGUAUAUCUCUGCUAUUGAGAUUCUCUUAAUGUCUCUCAGCUUUUUGUAUACUAACCUUGUAUCUUACAAGCUUGCUAAACUCAUUGGUUCUAGUAGGUUUUUUUUUUUUUUUUUAUUAAGACUCUUUGGGAUUUUUUUUAUAUGGACAUACAUGGUAUCUGCAAGUAAUAACAGUUUUCCUUUCCAACACUUACAUAUUUUUUUUCUUGCCCUAGUGUACUGAAUGGUACCGCCAAUACAGUGUUGAGUAGGAGUGGUAAGAAUGGGUAUUCUGUCCUCUUCCCCAAUUUUAUAAAGCAAAGCUUUCAGUUUCCUGCCCUUCCCAGUGGUAUCUGGCCCCUGCCAUGUACGAGUGCAGAAUCCUUGACCCAGGCAUGUUUCCUGCUCCUCUCCCAGGGCAAGAUGGUUUGGCUUCUCCUCCUCUUUCCUCUGGCCUUGUACCUUUUCCUGGAAUUGGUGACCAGAGGGUUUGCUGGCCUCCCUCCAGCGGUAGAAUGCUGUUGCUUGUUACUAGAUGUAAGACUUAGGGUGGGAGCAGGGGGGCUUUCCUCUCCACCCUUAGGGACAGAUGACUUUUGCUUCUGUCCUUCUCUCAGUGCAGGUCACCUUUGCCCGGAACUAUUGGCAGGAGGGUUUCCUGACUUCUCCAGUGACUUAAAGAUUUUGCUUCAUGCGAGAGAAAGUCCAGGGAAAUCAGGUUUUAUUGCUUGUUCCAGUGAAGGAAUCUUUCUCCGGUCUUUUGCUUUACUUCAGUCUUCCAUGAGCACUCCACAGCAAAGAACUUGGGUGUAUGGAUCCUCUUGUAGGUCUGAGGCUCAGAAGGCAUCUAAGCUUCCAUGGUAGCCCACAUUUGGCUUGUAAGAAGUCCUUAAAAUUUUGACUGAUUUCUUCUUCUGUGGCAGACUUCAUCUCUGUCAUGUGUCCCAUCUCCCUUGGGAGAGACUGUUACUCUUUGUAUUCAGCUCACCUGGGUGCCUUGCAGCCUUACCUCUCUGUUGAACCCCAGAAAUGUAUGACUUUGUAGUUGAUUUAUCUGUUUUUGUUAUUAGAGUGGAAAAGUAUGUUGUCGUGUGACUUUCUGCAUCCUACUGGAUGUGGAAUUUGCAAACUUUCUUAAGCUCUCUACUCCCUCCAAAUCCUAGCUUUCCUUCCACCUCUGCUAUUCAUCUCUUCCAUGAAAUCAUUCAUUAAUCCUGUUUUCCAAUAAUCUUACGUAAGGGAUUAAACACUUUUUUUUUUUUUCUAGCAUUGGCUGAACUGUGUCGUUUUGGACUUUACUUUGGUCUCUAUUGCCUUUACAUCCUUCUCUGCUUAUGUAGACUUAGGCCCAGACCAUUGGUCUGAUGAUUGGUGUGAGUCUGUGGUCCAGUUUUCACUGGUCUGGAGAGGAAUGAGUAAAGAUGGAUGAUGUGAGUUUUAUCAAACAAAUUGUAUUUACUUUUUUGUGUUUUUCUCUUGAGAUUAUUUGCUCUGCCAUUUUUGAUGUUAAAAUGUGUUUUUGAAAAUGAGAUGAUGUCAGUACAUGGGUGUUUUUUAUUUUAAAAUCUUUUUAUUGAGAAACAUUACAGACAGAAAAAUGCAUAAAACAUAAAUUCCAGCUUAAUAAAUUGUUAUAAAACAAAUAGCUUUGUAAAUAACGCUCAGAUUGAAAAAUAAAAUUUCAACACUUUAGAAGGUCCCCACCCCCAACAUAUCCCUACUUGAUUGAAAUCCUCCCCUCCCAAGGUAAGACCCUUAGCCUGAUUUUUAUGGUAUUCACAUCCUUGCUUUUCUGUAGAGUUUGGCCAUCAAAUUCUAGUUCAAUUUUUGCUGGUUUUGAACUUUAUGUAAUGGAAUCAUACUAUAUAUAUAUGUGGCUUCUUUCACUCAAUACUAUGCUUUUAGGAUCCAGCCGUGACUUUGUGGUUAUUUUUUGUUCAUUUUCAUUGCUCUAUAGUGUUCCAUUAUUUCAAGUAUGCUGCAAUUUGUCCAACUAAAUUAUUACUUGUUUGACUUGAAGUUUAUAGCUCAUACAAAUAAUGCUGUGAAUAUCUCCUGUGCUGAUGCACAUUUCUGUAGGGCUGUGGUUCUCAAGGUGCCCUUCCCCCACCAGCAGCUCCCGGCAUCUCCUGGGAACUUGUUAGAAAUGCAAAUUCUUGGACCUAUUGAAUUAGAAACUGUAGGGGUGGGGCCAGCAAUUUGUGUUUUAACAAUCCUUGAGCGUGAUUACCAUGCAUGCAGAAGUUUGAGAAGCACUGCUGUGGGGGUGUACCUGGGGAUGAACUGAGGGGGCUUAGGGAAGACUAGAUUAAUGAAUGGAAAACUGUCCUCCAAGUAGUUGUAGCAAUUUACAUUUUCACCAGGGAUAUAGGAGAGGUCCAAAAGGCACCACAUUUUUUGGUGUUGUGAGACUUUUUAAUGGUAAUUCUUCUCUGCCACUCCCCUUUUGGGUUUUAAUUAUCUUUAUCUGUAAAAUUGAAACUUAGGUCACUGGUCAGUGAAAUCUAAAAGUCUGGAAGUGACUGGUCUAAAUGAAAUAUAUUUGAGUACAGAAAUUUUGUCAUCAUUUUUGCUUUACUCCCAGUGCCUAGCAUAGUGAUAAGCGCAUAGAAAAGUACAUAUUUAUCCAGUUGAAUUUUAAAAUAUUUUUUCAUUGUUCAGCAGUUUCUCUGUCUCUUUUUUAAAAAGUUUAAUAAGGACCUAAAGUUUAUCAUACAGACUAGUAAUGCAUUUUGAAAGUUCACUGUAUACUUUUUUUUUUUUUAGCUUUUAUCACUUCUUUUUGAAGAUUUAUUCAAAAAAUUUAAUUCUGAAAUGAAGAAGAUUGCAGACCAGGUGAUUCCUAAGCAAAGAGCUGCGCAGUUCGAUGUUGUGAAACACAUGCGUCAGGACCAGAUCACCAAUGGCAUGGUGAAUGCCAUUUCCACCGUAAGUCUCCACGCAUUUGUUGAGGCUUUUGUAACUUAUUUAUACCUCUGUUCAGUGGAAUGGAAACUGAAAGUACUUUGGGAACGUAGGUGAAAAAAUAACGUUUAUAUUUGGAGGAUGUUUACAAAUCACACAUUUUUGACCUUGAAAGACAGUCCAUAGUUUAAAUGUUUAAAUGUUAUCACUAGGAAUCUUGUUACUGUGUGACUUUAUUGCCAAAUUAUAGUCUAUGUUCUAUAAGGCCGUAAGAAAAUAGACUCUUACAUAGAGGAAAAAUCUUUUAGUUUAACUGAGAAUAGCCCUUCUUUUAAAGGAUACUUCUUCCCCUUGUUUUCUGUAAUAAAACUGAUAUAUUGCAAGUAGGUUUAUUAAUGACAGUUUUUGUCCAAAACAAUAUAAAAUGUUUCAUUUCAUUGUAGGUUUAUGUUCCUCGUAGGGCUAUCAGCUGUUCCUCACGUGAGUGAUGAAUUCAGGCCUCGGCAGCUGCUGUGUAUUCAGGGCCCCUGGCUGUUCAUAAAGGGUUAUCAGAUAGGUUUUUGCUCCCUUUCUUAAAGCAUAACAACUAUAGGUCUAUCUGAUGAAGUCUAGUUGUGUUUUGUAUGCCAGACAUAAAAUUAGUUUUAUAGAUGGGAGUUUGCCCCGACAAAAGGAUAAUGUGCUAGAACACGUCGAUUCCCUUAACAAUGACAGAAUUAGUGGCAGACUUGCUUCAGUUCUUGUCUUUAGAAACUAGCAGGCGGGUCUGUGUGAACUGUCCUUGCCGUGACAGCUACCUCUAACUUGACACGAACUGGGCCUUUGUGCCUAUUUAGGCACAUUAAACUCUUGUGGCCCGAACUUGUGUGAAAGUAGCUCCCUGGACAUUUGAAGAGAAGCCUCCAAAGAGCACUUGAACGCACAUCAGUUAGAAUUACUUUUCCUCGCUUUCUGACCCAUGAUUUUCAGGUCCUGAUAGCUUUAUGGAGUAGUUCUUUUACCCCUUAGGGACACGGCUCUACCUCCCAGAGAUAGCCUGCUUAUUUGAAAAAGCCUUGUUGUAGGUGUACCCCAGUCUGUAGGCAGCCAGAGAAACUUGUGUUCUCUUCCUAAAUUCUGUGUUACUGUAAGUAGAAUAUUUGCAACAAAUACGUUGCUCUCAGAAGAGCAAUUUUUAUCUCCUUGUCUGUUUCUCUCCUCUCCCUUCUUGUAAUACUCACGCAGAAGACUAGAACAAAUCCUCUUGUUGGACACCUUGGCUUCACUUCCCAUCUACUUCCCGUUUGCCAGCAGCUGCUGCCUUAUUUUAGCUCUGUGUGGAAUAUUUAUUUACCUUCCUCACACCUACUCUCUGGGCAUCAGUCCAUUUGCUAGUUUACCCUCAUUCAGAGCAGAAAAGGAGUUCACUGACGAAGCAAUGCAAAAACUUGUGGAAUAAAUGUGUUUGCUCUGUUUCUUUGCUUUGUAAAAUGUACAGAGCUUCUUCCUAGAAUUUAACUCUUUUCCGUGUUACCAAGAACUCAAAGUUUCUGCAGUGAUAGAUCUUUACUGUAAUGAUGAUUAAACAUUAGUUCGUGAGGGAACUGCCCCAGAGUUACACAUUUUAAUUCAAACAGAUCACCUUAUCUCCUUCUGAAACUCUAGCAGUUUUUCUCCGUUAGAGUUUUUAGCUUGGGAUCUGUGAGCUCCCCUGUAAGUGAAAUGUUUUAAAAUUUUGUGUUCAUGGUCCUACAUGCAUUUUUCCCAAGAGAACAGACACAGCUUUCAUCAGAUUCUCAAAAGAAAAAUGAAGACUCACCGUUUAGCAGAUGUAGUCCUUUCUUUUGACUCAGAUUAUUGAAUCAGUGAUUUUUUGACAUUUUCUACUUUACUUUCCUACACAUACUCUUUUCUACUGCUAGUUCAUGUUACCAUGAAUUGAAAAUUUAAUUAUUGCUAACCUACAUCUUUAAAUUAUCUUUCAGAAUAUUUAAUGUAUAUGUUUAUUUGCUACAACUAUAAGAUGAUAGAUUUAAUAUGAUUCAGUAUAUUGAAUGCAAAGGAGAUAAACUAAAUUUAAUGUUGAAGAUUUAGCCGCAGCGGAUACAUAAUAUUUCUUCAUAUGAAUAUAUAUGCAGCUUUUAGCCUUGAUUAAGAAGCUUACAGUUUAUUCAUUAUUCCUGAUAACUGCUAUUGGAGUCAUUUUUCUGGUCCUUUUCUAUUAGUAUAUUCUCCUCUAAUUAAGACAGAUUUUGGAAGACAUCCAAAUAAUGACACAUUCCAACAUGAAAUUAUCUCUUUGAGCUUCCAGCUACUUUUACCUUAAAAUAUGUGUAGAAAUUGCUAGUGUUCUGUUAAUUAGCUUAUUGCUUCCAGUGGAAGUCUCUGGUUGAACUGGCUUGCCAGGAUAUAAUUAGUUCUUCAGACAAUAACUGCUAUGACAUGGUAAGGCUGAUACAUCACAGCAUUCUGGCCUGGUUGCUAGACAUAGGUGAUAUUCAUUAAAUCCCUAGAGAAAUCCUAGGGAGUGACCAGGGUAAAUUUUCAUUUCAGUUGUGAUAUUUUGAUUCCUGAAUAUGCACUGUGGCUCUCAUUUCACAAAUAGUUCCUGUGAUGAACUUCUUAGAGGGGCUGGAAAGUGUCAGGCAACAUACAAACGGAUCAGUGGUGGCCUUAGGUCUUUUUAUAUAUUUAUUUUCUUCUACAGGGAAAUUGGUCCCUAAAGAGAUUUAAAAUGGACCGCCAGGGUGUGACUCAAGUGCUGUCUCGCUUGUCAUAUAUAUCCGCACUGGGCAUGAUGACAAGAAUCUCUUCUCAGUUUGAAAAAACAAGAAAAGUGAGUGGUCCUCGAUCCCUCCAGCCAUCUCAGUGGGGAAUGCUCUGUCCUUCGGACACUCCUGAAGGAGAGGUAAGGGAUCUAACGAGUCUCUGCUGUGUCAGAGGUAAUAUCUGUUGGUGGUGUUCUAAUUCUGCCCCUGUUCCCCCCAGGCCAUAUCCUUUUUUUGGGUCAGUCACUCUCUGGCAGAGAAAAAAUUGAUGCAGCCUGUCAGGACGACAUCAGUGUCAUUCCAAAACCAGUACCUACAGAGGCAUUUGAUUUAGUACCUCACCUAAACAGAAAUAUGAUCCCAAUUUUCUUGUUUUAGCUUAUCCCAAGAAUCAAACCAUGCAAUGAAGAGGGGAUGAGAAUGUGAGGGAAAAUUGGGAGGCCCAUCAUCUUGAUUCAGGAGGGUCUCUUUUUAUAAACAACUCCUUAUUUUCCUUAGGUGUGCUUGGCGGGCAUCAGGUUUUUGCCAGGGCAGCCAACAGAGAGCACAGAACCAAGCAGCUUAAAUAGGUUUGCUCCCCCAGCAUCACCAUUUCUGCAUCACGGCCCUUUCUCCUUCAUGCUGACCAUUUUUGGUUUUACCCGAUUCUGUUCGUUGUGAACUGUGAGUUUCCGGAGGAAAGAACCUCGUCAGGUUCACAUUCUACCACGAGUUCCUAGCACAGAGCCUCGUCCACAGUAGAGGCCCCUUAGAUAUAUGCUGAAUGAAUAAAUACAUUAGUUAUUACAUGUAAAAGAUGUAAGUUCCAAAGAGUAGGAAUUUGUUAUGACUUGGGAGAGGUGAAAAUAGAAGGCCAGGCAGAGUUAUAAUUUUUUAGAAAAUUGUCAUCCGUCUCCUAAUUUAUCUUAAACCCUAUGGAAAUGCACACUACAAUUAUGCAGCUUGUCACAUUUGCAUAACUUCUACUUCUUGAGCUUUGGAGCACUGAAUUUCCCGGAGAUGGCUUCAGCUAACUUGUGCAUCACUGUAGCAGAUGGUUUUGAAGAAUGGAAGACAAUCUUUACAUGUCCCAUGUCUCAACUGUUUUUUUUUUUCUUACUUGCUGUGUUAUGUCCUUGUUCAUAUUUCAUCUUAGAUUUUUGGGGGGGUGUGUAAAAAUUCAAAAAUAUUUUAUUUACUUUUCAUUUUGAAGAAACUUCAGAUGUACACAAAAGUUGCAAAAUUGGUACAAAGAAUUUCCAUAACCCCUCACCUAGAUUGUUCAGUUAUCAGCCUGAUGAAAUUAAAAUUGAUAACAGUAUUGUAAUCUAUAGAUUACAGAAUAUAUUACGGGUUAUAGAAUCUAUACCUUAUUCAAAUCUUGCCACUUAAUCCCACCAAUGUCUUUUUGCUGACCCAGGAUCACCCACUGCUUUCGGUUGCCAUGUCUCCUUAAUCUCUACUCUGGAGCAUUUCUUCGGUCUUGUCUUUGCCUUUUAGGACCAAGAAGCUUCUCAUGAACCAUGAGAUCAUGACCUGAGCCAAAACCAAGAGUUCGAUGCUUAGCCCACUAAGUCACCCGGGUGCCCCCAUCCUUUACUGUUUUUAGACAGUGUCCUCUUAAUGACUGUGACGUUCCAUUGUCUGGGAAUAACAAUUUAUGUAGUCAGCUUUUUUUGAGGAUGCAUUAAACGAUGCCAUCAUUAUUUGCCAUUGUAAAUAGUACUACGCUGAGCACUUCUGUGGCUAAAUCUAGGUUUAUAUCCUUGCUUAUUACUUUAGGGUAAAUUCCUCUGGAUAUACGUUUUUAAGUCUUUUGUAUCAUCCCCAAAGUGUCCCCUACAAGGCUGUACUGCUUUAUGUUGCUGCCAGCAAAGCGGUGAGCUAUUUUCAGACACAAAUGGUACUUUGUAUUACUAAUGGUCAUUCUUAGAAAUGACUGUCCUUUGCUUUUUAGGCAUGUGGUUUGGUUAAAAAUUUGGCCCUUAUGACACACAUCACAACUGACAUGGAAGAUGGACCCAUUGUUAAAUUAGCCAGUAACCUGGGAGUAGAAGACGUGAAUUUAUUAUGUGGGGAAGAGCUCUCUUAUCCAAAUGUGUUUCUUGUCUUCCUCAAUGGUGAGUGUAUCACAGAGACCUGUUGAUCCUGAUCAGUCUCUGGGUGGGGAGUAGUAGGGAAGCCAUUAUUAUCCAGGUAUUUAAAGGACAAAGGUACUUCAGUUUUGGCCCGGCCUUAAUUUAAAGGUAGAAAAAUGGUAACAGAAGCAGUCUAACCCACUGGCCGGGGCAUCAGGUGCUGAGGAUCCCAGGCCAGAGCUAAAGGUAACGUUGCAGACAUUGGCCGCGUCCUGCCCUUCCACAGAUAACCGCUAGGCCAAAGUGGAAAAGGCUCAACAUGGCCUCUUUAAGUUCAAGUUAAAUAUGUGAGACAUUCUGCAGAAACAGAUCAGCCCUGACAGCACGUUGACUUCUAUUCAGCCACUCGGUGAUGGAUUGUCAGCAGCCUGUCGCGAGAGGUCCCUUUUUUUCUGCUCGUGUUCCAUUUGCUUCUUUCAUCCCCUCUGAGUCCUCCAGAGCCUUGGCAGCAAGCGUGCCUCAUCCUUGUGAUUUGGUGACCUGGGUACCUGUCCCGCCACACAUCCUGCAGGCUCGUCCUGACCGCCUAGCUCCCGUGCUCUUCUCCCCUUUCCUUCUGUUCAGGGGGCAUUAGUCCUUCACUGUGUGGGCAGGUGAGAAGCAAAACAGGGCUGUUCAGUACAUCCCAGCGACCGACGCCGAGAGAGCUCUUCCUCUGCAGUGUCGCCCGGGACCUCUCUGCAUCCUCACGCUGACCCCGGGGUGCAGAGUCCAUCCUCCUCAUUGCACAGAUGAUGAUGAUGGAAGAGUGGUUAGUAGGAGCCGGGCAGAGCUCGAAGCGCUUUACGUAGGAUCGGGUUCACAUUACUUAAUCCUCACAUCAACCCUUUGGAAGGGAUAGAGCCAGUGUUCAAACCCAGGGAGUCUGGACCUCGAAUUCCUGCCCUCAGUGUGGUGCUGACCAGUGAGGAAAAGGAGGCUAACUUUUGCUAGUUCAGCAGGCACGGGGCAGGGCUGCUUUCCUACAGCCUAUGGACCGGCUGCCUGAGUCAGUAACUGAAUUUUCAAAUGACUACUCAGUGCUGUUUAUCGUCUUUAUCAGGUAGAUAUUUCAAAUCAGUAUAGAUCUGUUUUUCUGCCUGUUGUAAAUUUUUCUCUUUCUGCUUAGGUAACAUCCUGGGUGUCAUUCGGGACCACAAGAAGCUAGUGAACACGUUUCGACUGAUGCGAAGAGCAGGAUAUGUCAAUGAAUUUGUUUCCAUCUCGACAAAUCUCACGGAUCGAUGUGUCUAUAUUUCCUCUGAUGGGGGAAGGCUGUGCAGG
This 43315-nucleotide long non-coding RNA is filed under the name Lynx pardinus (Iberian lynx). The record is from RNAcentral. Lineage: Eukaryota; Metazoa; Chordata; Mammalia; Carnivora; Felidae.